This 502-nucleotide ribosomal RNA is filed under the name Bacillus pumilus. RNAcentral describes it as "bacterial SSU rRNA". It matches the Rfam family "Bacterial small subunit ribosomal RNA", at positions 37 to 517 of the family's 1533-position model. The record is from RNAcentral. Lineage: Bacteria; Bacillati; Bacillota; Bacilli; Caryophanales; Bacillaceae.
CCGAGUAGUGGCGGCGUGCUAAUACAUGCAGUCGAGCGGCAGAAGGGAGCUUGCUCCCGGAUGUUAGCGGCGGACGGGUGAGUAACACGUGGGUAACCUGCCUGUAAGACUGGGAUAACUCCGGGAAACCGGAGCUAAUACCGGAUAGUUCCUUGAACCGCAUGGUUCAAGGAUGAAAGACGGUUUCGGCUGUCACUUACAGAUGGACCCGCGGCGCAUUAGCUAGUUGGUGAGGUAACGGCUCACCAAGGCGACGAUGCGUAGCCGACCUGAGAGGGUGAUCGGCCACACUGGGACUGAGACACGGCCCAGACUCCUACGGGAGGCAGCAGUAGGGAAUCUUCCGCAAUGGACGAAAGUCUGACGGAGCAACGCCGCGUGAGUGAUGAAGGUUUUCGGAUCGUAAAGCUCUGUUGUUAGGGAAGAACAAGUGCAAGAGUAACUGCUUGCACCUUGACGGUACCUAACCAGAAAGCCACGGCUAACUACGUGCCAGCAGCGG